CUAAAAUACUCUCCCCCAAAACUCAGCCUCCAGUGGCACAAUAAACCCGCCACGGCGCCUUUGUCACAAACUUCUGCAACCACCUCCAUGAUCUACACCCACUAAUCACUAUGUCCACCGCAAUUACCACCCUAGAGUGGAUGGUCCUGAAAUCCAUCAUCUUCUUCACCAUGCUCCAUAGAUACCCUUUUUAUGUCGGCCACUAGAUGCAAGCUGUGAAGAAUUGAGGAGAGUUAGUAUACUCAAAAUAAGAAGAGGGGAAGCAGAUCUAUGUUCUUUCUUUUGUUGCUGCGUGAAAAUAUCUCCUAUUUUGGAGGGCGUAACUCAAAUAAUGUUACAUACAUAUUGCAAUCUCAUCCCUUUUGCCUGAUUUUACGCUUGCAUAUUUGAGACUCUUCCAGAAAAAUAUGCAAUCGCCAUUUGAUCCUCCCAACACAUGAUGCGCUCCUUCAUUCCCUCCACCGAAAAACCCUUGGCUACUGACCUUCCCAUCAAGGUGCCAUCUCUGUUAUUUUAUACUUUUGGUUCAAUAUAUUGCACAUUACAUUUACAGCUUUAAUAUUUCAUAUGUCAGAAACCUCUAACGAUUACACAAAUAUUGAAGAUAAUAUAUUAGUUUUUUUUAUUUCUAUUACCAAGAUCAAGAAAGUAGAACAAUCAACGAUAAAAGGAAAAUAUUUUCCUCAGUCAGAUGGUGAGGAUCUACCUUCCGUUCCAUCCUUAUUAUUCAAUGUGAAUGAUGGUGUAAUAACAAAAUGAAUUGGUAGCAGAAAAACCAAGCAGUAGUUACAGGAAGGUAUGAAUCUUAUGUUUUUUGGCUUAAUAUGUUUACACUUUACAUUCAAAAAUAGUCUUAGAAAAUUAGAUAAUCUAAAAAAAAUUAAUUUUUUGCAUUGCCUUACUUCAUAACUCUUAAAAUAGGGUUAUAUGAUUUCCCAGGCUCAAAUAUUGUUAUCCCAGGUUCGAUUUUGACUUGAUGUGUUUGGUGUUAUAAGAUGCACACUUUUUUUUUCCGCUUCUUGCUAUGUGAUAAUUUUUCUGAAAAUUGGUCACAAAACAUAUUCAAUAACUGUUAAGAUAUUAGACCAAAAUACCCCUAUCAUUUAGGUGCAGCUGCAUCAUUGAAUCUAUUUAUUAUUUUGCUACAUUGAGGAUUAGUUGUAGCAAAAACAUGAGGUUUGAAAUCAUGGUUAUGUAGCUGAUGGAAAAUUAGACCCAAUUACCACUUUAAUAGGAGGGUAUCACAUAAAAAUAAUGUUUUUGUUGCAUAUAGUUUGUGGUAGAAAAUGUUUAGAUACAAUCAAAAAAAUUGUGAAUACCUAGGAAACUUUAUAGUCUUGCCUAUUGGAUUUCGUUCCUUGUGUAACACCCAAAGUUUUGAAGACCAAGAAAGGAAAGAAAACCCUAAGUUUAGGGGUCGACUCGGCGAGUCCAAGGAGGGACUCGGCGAGUCCGAGCGGGAUCCGGGUCGAGGUGUAAGUGACCAACUCGGCGAGUCGGCCAAGUGGACUCGGCGAGUCUGGUCUGUGUAAGGAAAUCCCUAAAUUCGGGACUUGGAGCCUAUUUAAGCGCCUCAUUCUCUUCCCUAGGGUUCCUUUACUGCCUAUUUCACCCAGAACAUUAAACCCUAGCCGCCAUAUCCUCUAUUUGAGCCAUUUGUUGCCUUGGAAGGUGCAUUAAAGCUUGGAGAAGGAAGAAGGAACUUGGAGGAGCAAGAAGGGACUAUAGAUCUGGGAUUGUGAGUUCAUUCUGAGCAUUUGGAGGUAAUAAACUAGUUCUUGGACCCUUUUUGCACCUAGAUCUAUGUGUGGUUGUUGGGGCUUUUUAUCCAUAAUGUUAUUAUUUUGAGUUAGAAGCCAGAUCUGAAGUUGCUACUUCAUAUCUAAGCAUAUUAAGGUCUUGAGAAACAUAAAGUAGCAGCCCUUGUGUCGAUUAUGGAGCUUUCUUGCCUUAAACCCUAGUUUAUGGUGUAUUUUGCCUAGAUCUCCUUCUCUACACGUAAAGUUUGAAACUUUACGUGAGGAAUAGGCUUGGGAAGGGUAGAUCUACAGAUUUGAGUCCCUGCAUGACUCAAAAGUCCUCUGCAUGUAUGAAGGACCGGAUGGACUCGGCGAGUCCUUUGAGUGGACUCGGCGAGUAUCUUAAAGAUGAGGAGGAACUCGACGAGUGGGAUGAACAACUCGUCGAGUCGGAUGAAGUUGGGCAUGAACUCGGCGAGUUGGAAGAACAACUCGGCGAGUUGGAUGAAGAUUGCCUUGUACUCGACGAGUCUGUUCUUGGACUCGGCGAGUCAGGUCGCGGAACCCCAAACCCUUCGAGUUAAGACUCGAGUCAGCAAGUCAAGCAAGGACUCAGUGAGUUGGACAGGACAGGAUUUGGGAAUCAGUAGACUCGGCGAGUCAAGUCGCGAUUGGAAGGACUUUGAGCAUAAGAACUCGGCGAGUCAGUAAGUGGACUCGGCGAGUAGGGUUGACCUGGAAGGUUGACUUUGACCAGGACUUUGACUUAUACCAUAGUUGGCUUGGUAGUCUUUCGGGGGUCAGUUAGACUCAGUGUUGCAUUGUUAUUGGUAGCUCGGGGAGCGGGUGGAGUCGGAGUUCAGAGAGUUGCCGGGCAGCAGCUAGUGGGAUCAUCAACAAGUUCAGCCACUGCAGGUGAGUUUCCCUUUGUGUGAAUGGGUCUAAGGCCACAAUGUCGGCCCAUGUAGUUAUGAGUAGAAGACCCGGGGGUUAGCCUUAGGCACAGUAUGCUAGUAUGAUAUUUGGGAUGAGGUCCAAUGACAGAGGGCGGGUGCCCAAGGAAUGGUUUAUGUGAUAGUUUAUACUUGUUGUCUGUGUGAUACUUGUAUGUGCCUGAUAGGGAGGUGAGUGUAAGAGAGGUCCCGUAUCUCACCAAUAGCAGAGUGUGGAUGGUGUUCCACAUCUCAGUAGCAGCAGAUCAAGGGCGAGGCCCAAGUUAGGGAAGGAGUGAGGGUGGGCUGGGCCCGUAUCUCACUAUUAGCAGAAGUAUGGACGGGGUUCCAUGACUCAUCAGUAGCAGGACACGGGUGGGGCCCAGAGAUAGGCGAAGCCUUAGAACAAGAUCUGUUAGUAUGUGUUUAGCUUAUGUGAUGUGAUGUGAUAUGUUUAUGUGCUAUUAUAUGUUAGUGGGCGGGGCCCUGUGACAGGCGAGGCCUAAGUGAAACAGAUCUGUAUCCGAGCGGGGCUCGAAGCCAGGCGGGGCCUGGAGCGGCGGGGUCGUUGUAGCGGGCGAGGCCCAGGAUAGCGGGCGUGGCCCAGUAUGUGCAGUAUGUGGUUAUGCAUGGUAUGUGGUAGGGUGGGGAACUCACUAAGCUUCGUGCUUACGGUUUUCAGUUUUGGUUUCAGGUACUUCCGGUAGCGGAGGGAGGAGCUCGGGGUGAUCGCAUGGCACACACCAUAGUUUAGACAGCCUGGAAAUAUUUACUCUGAUAACGAACAUGUAUUUUGGAAACUAAUACUCUGUUUAUGUUUUGAAAUGAUGAGUUUGCUUAAAGUAAUGUUUUAUUAAAAGAAAUUUUUAGUCUUGAAUUUUGGGACGUUACACCUUGGUUGACGAUUUUACCCCUCUCAUUUCCUCCCCUGUUUUGGAUAUCUCAUAAUGGGUCUUCAUGGUGGUUGCAAUUUGGAAGAAAGUAAACAAGCUCGUUUCUAGCUUUGCAUAAGCCAAAUCCAAAAGGAAUGAUUAAGUCUAAUUAAGUGUAACGCCCGUAGAUCCGGGCUAGUCAAUUUAUAGACAAUAAGUGUCGAAAAUGACUUUUCGGAAAAAGAUUAUUUAUAAUAAAUAGUCUUAACCAAGUUGUAUAAUAUAUCUUAAGGUUUCCGUACAUAUAAAGAACGCCGAAAUCCGAGUUAUAACGAAGAAGUUAUGACACGUCGAAGUUUCGUGACGGAACCGGCACGACACCUGGAAGUAUAAAUAGUGAAUUUACAAUAGAGCGAGAUUUAACCUUAGCAAUAUAAACAAAAGUCAUAGAAUAUGUUAAACCGAGAGCGUCCAUAAAAAGAACGCUCAAAUCUGACUUCGUAUAAAGAAGUUAUGAUUUUUGCAGUUUCGGCUUAGCAAUGUACAACUCGAAAUUCGAAUAUUAGAUCGAGUGGUUUUUAGCCGACACGACCUAAACAAGAAUGGAAAAUCUCGUUAAGAGUAGCGUAACGAGAAAAAGAUGGGCGAAAACGGACAUCGGAUGAAGAAGUUAUGAGGAUUUAACGGACCAAUCCUGUCCCGGCCUGUUAAUAAUAUAAAAUUUAAAAUAAACUCAAAAUUAGCCGAUGAAGUCUAAACAAAAGUUGUAGAGUACGUUCCCGCCUUCGCGUGGAUAUAAAGAACGUAAAAAACGGAGCUCGUAUGCGAAAAAUACGAAUUUUAGAAGUUAAGUGUACAACUUGCGAAGCUAAUGCAUGAAAUGAUGACGUGGCUGAACUCCCAGCCGUCGGAUGAACUCGCUUCGGAUGGUGACACCUGGUGCGAGGGUUACUCCUAGCGUAGCGAAGGGACGCCUAGUGUCCGGAGUACGCCCUGCGUCGGAAAGAAGUACGCCUCGCGUACAGCUGUUCUACUUGGUCCGAGGAGUGAACACAUAGCACCACUGAGACUGCGACAUGUGGAGACCUUAUCCGAACUUACGCCCAACGUAAGGCUUCGGUACGCCCAUCGUAAGUCCGAAGUCUGGGCUAUAAAUAGAUGGCCAAGGCUUCCAUUUCUCUUCACUCCAAACCCUCUUCUUUCUCUCACUACUUUCUCUCUCUAGCUCCUCUAAACCCCCCUAAACCCUAGAUAAAACCCCUAGCACCCUAAGGAAGCCCCGAGGCUCCCAGAGUCCCAAGAAAAAGUGUCUUUCGGUUUCGAAACGCUGCUCCAAAUAAAGUUCCGGUUUUCUUUAAAAUCCGCUGUAAGUGAGCUACGCUUACGCAAUUUUUAAUAUAGCUUUCAAAUAAUUAUAGGAAUGUUAUUAGGUCCUUAAAAUAAUUAUUUGGGCUAUUAUUAUGAGUUAUAUUGAGUGUUAUUUAACGCUUAUAUAAUAAUAAUAAUAAUAAUAAUAAUAAUAAUAAUAAUAAUAAUAAUAAUAAUAGUCAGACUAUUAAUUUGUCGCGGUUAUCGUUAGACUAAACCCUAGUGGUAUUGAUACUAGGUUUUAUCGAAGGAAAUUGUUUUGAGAGUAUCGAAGCAUUGUCCGAGUGCUGAGUCACCACCUUUCAAGUAAGUACAUGGUCCCUUUCAGUUUACACAUAGAUAUGAAGUAUUUUUAUAUAAAUUACGUGCUAUGUGUGCAUAUUAUCUGAAUACUUGCUAUCUAUGCUGGAUGAACGUUUUAUACAUGUUUUCAAUGAUUUAUACUGUAUAAGUAUAUUUAUAUCUACUAAUAUAUUGGGGAUAAAACAUGGGUAGAUGAAAUAGUUGGUGUGUGAUGAAAUAAAAUAAUGAGAGAUAGGUGAUGAUAGGAAGGUGAUGAUAAUUAGGUGAGGAUAAAUAGGUGAUGAUGAAUCGGUGAUGUAGGAUACUAUAACCUUGUCCGACAAUUUGGAGAUGUAGUCAUCUACCAGAGUAUAGAUGGCGACCACAGACUAUUAUAGACAACCCCGUGGAAACACCAGCAGACUCAUAACCUGUAGGUGAUGAAUUACGAGUUCAGGCGAUGUUGUAACUACGUAUUCAUGCGAUGAUACUCUAACCCCCUUACUAUGAAUUAUGAGUUCAGCCGAUGUUGUAACUACGUAUUCAUGCGAUGAUACCCUAACCCUUGGUGGGCACGUAUUGAGGGAGUAAUCCCUGAAUCAAUACUGUCUAGGCGAUGUAGGCGAUGAUCCUUAGGGAAAGUCCUUAGGAACAAACAUAUAAGGAGAUGCGAUGUAAGAAGAUGAGAGGUAAAAUAUGAUGUAGGAGACGACCCUUAGGAUAAAUCCUUACGGAGGGUACUUAGGAAUAAAGAAGAUAAUGGGGAUGAGUAAUUGUGUUAAUUUUUUGAUGAUUGAACAUAAUAAUUAUAUUAUUGUGGGUUGAAAACCCUAUGUACUCAUCAGGUUUCCCAACUUGACCCACUCAAUUUAUUUAUAUCACAAGUGUCGAUAUGAAGUGACAUUACACUGAGAGAUUAAAGAGAUGUAGAUCACUAGUGUAAAUAAAUGUAAGUUCCGUUUAUGCUUAUGUUCCUGUAUUGACAAUGACAUCCCAAACGUUUUAAAAUGAAUAAAAUACGUUUCUUCAAAAAUGCUUUGAUAACGUAUUUAUCAUAUUUUUUUGGGAACAAAUUCCGCAACAUUUUUAUGAAAAUAAGUACUCUAAUUUUUAUAAAGAAUAAACAAAAUCGGUCUUUUCUGACCGUGAAAAUAGGGAUGUCACAUUAAGUCCUUUGGUUCGGUUACUUUUCAUAAUCUAACUUACAUUUUCACUUCUCUUUUGGAUAAAAAUGAAGGUAAGAUGUCACAAUAAUAGAACUAUAUUCCUAUUUCUUACUUUUCAUAUUGUCAAUUUUGUAUGUUUAGUGAUCAUAUUAAUAGGCUUUCUAACGUGCCAUGAAGCAACUCGUGGGUCAGUGACACGACAUCGAGGUAAAUUACUGUUUUGGUGAUUUCUUAUGCAGAUUCAAAACUUUUCCCUCCUCUUGAACCUAUAGGUUAGAAAAUGAGUUUGCCCUCCUUCAUAAAUAGAUUGAUGAAGAUGUGGUUAUUAUUCCAUUUCCUUAAGAUGUUUGUCUUCAACCCACAACCCCACUUGAUUUUGUUUAAUAAAUGCAUAAUAAUAUUGAUUUUGCUAGACUUUGAAAGGAAGCUGAACCAUUUGCCAAGCAUUGCAACCAAUAGUUGCCACAGAAAGAAAAGUUGUCUAUUGAUAAAAAGUAACUGGAAACAUUAGACAAGAUAAAUCAGUCGAUCAGGUAGAACAAUAUUUUUUCUUGCCAUUAAUCACUCUUUGAUAGCCAAUGCCAUCACUCAUCAGCAAAUUAAGUUAAAUUUCAUAAUUUGGAAUGUAUAUAUGUAGUUUUUUUGCUGUAUGAUCUUUUGAUUUUUUUGGAAUAGGAGUGCAACUUUUUAUAUUCAUGUAAUAAAAAUCUGACAAAGGGUAAAAAUAUAGCACAUAUGUAACUAUAACUAUAAUCGUGCAUGUGUGUGUUGCUUUAUGUGCAUGUAUGUAUGUAUGUAUGUUAUUUUAUCCUCCAGGUGGUCAUACAAGUCGAUUGAGUUGGUCAUGCAAUUGUAUUGUGUGUACAUAAUGCUGAUUGGAUCUUUAUAUAGCCCUUGGUGGUUUUUUAGGUUGAAGACAAAUAAUGGAUCUAUGGUUCACAAAGGUUUAAAAGUUGGUUGCUAUUUAACGCCAUCAGCAUCUUGCAAAGCUUGGAGCCCUGAUUCGUAUACUUACCUAAACCAAAGUGGAACAUUGAAAUGAGCACUAAAAAUGAAAAAACAAACAAACAAACAAACAAACAAACAAAACAAAACUUUUUUUGGACCUAAGCCAAAUAAAAUCAUCAGCCACAUGGAGUUAAAUGGAGUUUAAAAGUUUUUUUUAAUCUUGAUUGGUGAUUGAAUUAACCGGUUUCUACUCUUGAAUUUUUUUCGGUGCUUCCUAUGGUCCUUUUCUGCAGAUAAGGAGGAACUUUCCUGAUGGAGAGAACAAAGUUCGCUGCUAUAUUGGUGUUUUUUUUCUCUCCUGAUGCUUACUGUUGCUAUGAGUUUAAUUUGAUGUUGGUAAUUUCACAUGGUGGUGUCAUAAUUGACCUUUGUUUUUUUCUUUUGUAAAAGUUUUUGUUUGAUACUCUUGGUAACUUGCUGGAAGUUGGCUUUUAUUUGUUUUAUUAUUGUUUGUCACAAUUCAAAAAAAAAAAAAACUAAACAUAAUCAUCUGAUUAUAUUGUGUAUCUUCUAGCGAAU
Molecule: non-coding RNA, 7886 nt
Organism: Lactuca sativa (garden lettuce)
Lineage: Eukaryota; Viridiplantae; Streptophyta; Magnoliopsida; Asterales; Asteraceae
Source: RefSeq, a predicted model, not a curated record